AUUCCAUUAUGUUGGCAAUUUCUGACUAUCUCCUUGAACCUCUCCCAUGCCUCAAAAACUGUUUCUGUGUCUUAUUGGCAGAAGUUAUGGAUUUCUCUUCUAAAUUU
RNAcentral lists this small nucleolar RNA (107 nucleotides) under Nicotiana tabacum (common tobacco). RNAcentral describes it as "Plant small nucleolar RNA R71". It matches the Rfam family "Plant small nucleolar RNA R71". From Rfam's summary of the family: R71 is a member of the C/D box family of snoRNAs containing the C (UGAUGA) and D (CUGA) box motifs. Multiple nearly identical copies of this snoRNA have been identified in Arabidopsis, and it is thought to function as a 2'-O-ribose methylation guide for 18S ribosomal RNA. Lineage: Eukaryota; Viridiplantae; Streptophyta; Magnoliopsida; Solanales; Solanaceae. The record is from Rfam by way of RNAcentral.